AACAAAACAGUUCACUUCCUCUGAAGGUGUGUUUGGAAUCAAGCACUUAAAGAAAGAGCUGGCCCACCAUGCUGAGACGAACUAGUUCUCUUGCUCAAGAAACGUUUUCUUCCUAAUCACUAAAUUUUGGCAGAUUUCAAUUGUCAUCUGCCUUUAAGAAAAUAUAAGUUUUAUAAAUCAUGGUAAAGAAAUGGAAAGGGCUAGGCAUACUGAGUAAGGUUUAGGUAACUGUUUUGUUAAUGUUAGGAUCUUCUUUUCUGAUUCAUGUUUAUUCUGGGCUUGCUCUCAAAGCUGAAACCAGGAGUAUCAGGGGAAGGAUAACAGUAUUUUGAAAAACAAGAUAAUUUCUUCUUCUUCUUCUUCUUCUUCUUCUUCUUCUUCUUCUUCUUCUUCUUCUUCUUCUUCUUCUUCUUCUUCUUCUUCUUCUUCUCUUCUCUUCUUUCUUCUUCUUUCUUCUUCUUUCUUCUUCUUUCUUCUUCUACUUUCUUCUCCUUUCUUCUUCUUCUUUUUUGUUUUGUUUUUCGAGACAGGGUUUCUCUGUAUAGCCCUGACUGUCUUGGAACUCACUUUGUAGAUCAGGCUGGCCUCAAACUCAGAAAUCGGCCUGCCUCUGCCUCCCGAGUGCUGGGAUUAAAGGCGUGAAUCACCACCACCUGCCCUUUUUUAUGUUUUUAUAUCAUAGUCAAUUUCUAGACAGAUACCAGGUACCAAAGUUAAAUCAGGAUCAGAUUAACAAUUUAAACAGUCCCCUAAAGAAAUAGAAGCAGUCAUUAAUAGUCUCCCAACC
RNAcentral lists this long non-coding RNA (787 nucleotides) under Mus musculus (house mouse). RNAcentral describes it as "long non-coding RNA chr12:5015503-5016290". Lineage: Eukaryota; Metazoa; Chordata; Mammalia; Rodentia; Muridae. The record is from RNAcentral.